AGGAUGAACGCUGGCGGCGUGCCUAACGCAUGCAAGUCGAACGUCCUGUCUCGCAAGAGGCAGGGAGUGGCGGACGGGUGAGUACCACGUGGGUCAUCUACCGUGAGGUGAGGAAUACCGGCGAGAAAUCGCCGACAAGACCGCAUAGGCUCGAUGCAAGUCGAGCAAAGCUCUUUCGAGAGAGGGAGCGCCACACGAGGAGCCUGCGCCCGAUUAGCUAGCUGGUGGAGUAACGGUUCACCAGGGCGACGAUCGGUAGCUGGUCUGAGAGGACGAUCAGCCACACUGGGAUUGAGAACGGCCCAGACUCCUACGGGGGGCAGCAGUGAGGAAUUUUCGUCAAUGGGGGCAACCCUGAACGAGCAACGCCGCGUGCAGGAAGAAGGUUUCGGAUCGUAAACUGCUUUUCUCGGGAAGAGAACGGACGGUACCCGAGGAAUCAGCCCGGCUAACUACGUGCCAGCAGCCGC
RNAcentral lists this ribosomal RNA (470 nucleotides) under uncultured bacterium. RNAcentral's name for it is "SSU rRNA". It matches the Rfam family "Bacterial small subunit ribosomal RNA", at positions 26 to 518 of the family's 1533-position model. The record is from RNAcentral.